AGCGGAAGGCCCUUCGGGGUACUCGAGCGGCGAACGGGUGAGUAACACGUGAGCAACCUGCCCUAGGCUUUGGGAUAACCCUCGGAAACGGGGGCUAAUACCGAAUAUGACCUCGCAUCGCAUGGUGUGUGGUGGAAAGUUUUUCGGCCUGGGAUGGGCUCGCGGCCUAUCAGCUUGUUGGUGGGGUGAUGGCCUACCAAGGCGACGACGGGUAGCCGGCCUGAGAGGGCGACCGGCCACACUGGGACUGAGACACGGCCCAGACUCCUACGGGAGGCAGCAGUGGGGAAUAUUGCACAAUGGGCGGAAGCCUGAUGCAGCGACGCCGCGUGAGGGAUGACGGCCUUCGGGUUGUAAACCUCUUUCAGCAGGGACGAAGCGUAAGUGACGGUACCUGCAGAAGAAGCGCCGGCCAACUACGUGCCAGCAGCCGCGGUAAGACGUAGGGCGCGAGCGUUGUCCGGAUUUAUUGGGCGUAAAGAGCUCGUAGGCGGCUUGUCGCGUCGACCGUGAAAACCUGGGGCUCAACCCCAGGCCUGCGGUCGAUACGGGCAGGCUAGAGUUCGGUAGGGGAGACUGGAAUUCCUGGUGUAGCGGUGAAAUGCGCAGAUAUCAGGAGGAACACCGGUGGCGAAGGCGGGUCUCUGGGCCGAUACUGACGCUGAGGAGC
Molecule: ribosomal RNA, 670 nt
Filed under: Micromonospora sp. 210
Lineage: Bacteria; Bacillati; Actinomycetota; Actinomycetes; Micromonosporales; Micromonosporaceae
Description: bacterial SSU rRNA
Rfam family: Bacterial small subunit ribosomal RNA
Source: RNAcentral